GCAAAUAAGAGGAAGAAUGAGAGGGUCCAAGAGUAGUAUGAAUGGGCACAUCGAGGAAAGCAUGAGAUUUCUAGAUUUCCUCUCCUAACAAAGGAGAAAUCUUGUUUUGUGUUUUUCCGAUGUCUCCCAUUCCUAUCGCUCUUGGGUGCUCCUUCCCCUUCCUUUUGGCU
This 170-nucleotide microRNA precursor is filed under the name Triticum aestivum (bread wheat). Its description in RNAcentral is "MIR2118 microRNA precursor family". It matches the Rfam family "MIR2118 microRNA precursor family". The record is from Rfam by way of RNAcentral. RNAcentral also lists the same sequence under 1 other name. Lineage: Eukaryota; Viridiplantae; Streptophyta; Magnoliopsida; Poales; Poaceae.